RNAcentral lists this ribosomal RNA (301 nucleotides) under uncultured bacterium. RNAcentral's name for it is "partial 16S ribosomal RNA". It matches the Rfam family "Bacterial small subunit ribosomal RNA", at positions 509 to 807 of the family's 1533-position model. The record is from RNAcentral.
CAGCCGCCGCGGUAAUACAGAGGGUGCAAGCGUUAAUCGGAAUUACUGGGCGUAAAGCGUGCGCAGGCGGUUAUAUAAGACAGAUGUGAAAUCCCCGGGCUCAACCUGGGAACUGCAUUUGUGACUGUAUAGCUAGAGUACGGCAGAGGGGGAUGGAAUUCCGCGUGUAGCAGUGAAAUGCGUAGAUAUGCGGAGGAACACCGAUGGCGAAGGCAAUCCCCUGGGCCUGUACUGACGCUCAUGCACGAAAGCGUGGGGAGCAAACAGGAUUAGAUACCCCCGUAGUCCCUGUCUCUUAUAC